UACGUAGGGGGCGAGCGUUGUCCGGAGUUACUGGGCGUAAAGCGCACGCAGGCGGUCCAUCGCGUUGAGGGUGACAGCUCUGGGCUAAACCGAGAGAGUGCCUUCAAAACGGAUGGACUUGAGGCAUCGAGAGGGAUACGGAAUUCCGGGUGGAGUGGUGAAAUGCGUAGAGAUCCGGAAGAACACCAAAGGCGAAGGCAGUAUCCUGGCGAUGUCCUGACGCUCAGGUGCGAAAGCUAGGGGAG
RNAcentral lists this ribosomal RNA (245 nucleotides) under uncultured bacterium. RNAcentral describes it as "partial 16S ribosomal RNA". It matches the Rfam family "Bacterial small subunit ribosomal RNA", at positions 524 to 768 of the family's 1533-position model. The record is from RNAcentral.